AACGAACGCUGGCGGCAUGCCUAACACAUGCAAGUCGAACGAGACCUUCGGGUCUAGUGGCGCACGGAUGCGUAACGCGUGGGAACCUGCCCUUAGGUUCGGAAUAACUCCCCGAAAGGGGUGCUAAUACCGGAUAAUGUCUUCGGACCAAAGAUUUAUCGCCUUUGGAUGGGCCCGCGUUGGAUUAGCUAGUUGGUAGGGUAAAAGCCUACCAAGGCGACGAUCCAUAGCUGGUCUGAGAGGAUGAUCAGCCACACUGGGACUGAGACACGGCCCAGACUCCUACGGGAGGCAGCAGUGGGGAAUAUUGGACAAUGGGCGAAAGCCUGAGCCAGCAAUGCCGCGUGAGUGAUGAAGGCCUUAGGGUUGUAAAGCUCUUUUACCCGGGAUGAUAAUGACAGUACCGGGAGAAUAAGCGCCGGCUAACUCCGUG
RNAcentral lists this ribosomal RNA (433 nucleotides) under uncultured bacterium. Its description in RNAcentral is "partial 16S ribosomal RNA". It matches the Rfam family "Bacterial small subunit ribosomal RNA", at positions 29 to 507 of the family's 1533-position model. The record is from RNAcentral.